This 251-nucleotide ribosomal RNA is filed under the name uncultured prokaryote. RNAcentral's name for it is "partial 16S rRNA". It matches the Rfam family "Bacterial small subunit ribosomal RNA", at positions 525 to 775 of the family's 1533-position model. The record is from RNAcentral.
ACGGGGGAUGCAAGCGUUAUCCGGAUUUAUUGGGUUUAAAGGGUGCGUAGGCGGUUUGAUAAGUCAGCGGUGAAAUAUUUCAGCUUAACUGAAAGGGUGCCGUUGAUACUGUCAGGCUUGAAUAUGGUUGCUGUGGGUGGAAUGUGUGGUGUAGCGGUAAAAUGGUUAGUUAUGACACAGAAUAUCGAAUGCGUAGGAAGCGCACAAAGCGAAUAUCGACGCUGGUGUACGUUGCUGUCUAGAAGGAAGAG